This 1837-nucleotide long non-coding RNA is filed under the name Mus musculus (house mouse). RNAcentral's name for it is "long non-coding RNA chr17:30938869-30940706". Lineage: Eukaryota; Metazoa; Chordata; Mammalia; Rodentia; Muridae. The record is from RNAcentral.
GCUGAAAUCUACUCUUCUUCUAUCCUCGUCAGUCUUUGAAUACCUAAAUCACCAAACUUUACAAGUCACUUACCCUCCAAGACUGCCUUCUCUUUCGAAUGACUUUGGGGAGGGCAGACAUGAUUACAAGUGCUCCAGCGCUCCUCAUACUGAAGACCGCAUGAAUAGAGUUCUGGGACAUUCGGCAGGCAGGAAAGAUCCUGACAGUUCCUCCUGACUUUGGCCUACAGAAGCCAGGAGAGAGUCUUGCAAGGAUUUCUGGGGUCUACAGCACUAGGCUGCCAGGGCAGCUGGACCUCUGGAAAGCACAUGGUCUUUCAAGACCUGUCAAGUUCGAGUCCUUGUGUGACCAAAAGGGAAUACUAAAGGCGGACCCAUUCCAUGGCAAAGAUGUGAUGAGAGGAAGCUGGGUGUGUUUUAAAGUGUGCUCUACUUUCCUUGUUCUUAGAGUUAAGAGAGGAGGACUGGAGAGAUGGUUCAGUGGUCAAGAAUGUGAACUCUUGGAGAGGAACAACAUUUAGUUUCCAGCACACACAUCAGGAAGCUCACAGCCCUAGUAACUUCAGGGUACCUGACACACUCUUUCGGCUUCCACUGACACACACACACACACACACACACACACACACACACACCAUACCUGACACCUUAUUUUGGCCUUGACUGGAACCAGCACAUUUGUGGCAUACAAACACGUCACACAAACAUACAUAUACACAUAAAAAAAAAUAAAAUCUGCAAAACCAAAAUCCAUCGGUGAAAUACACAUGAGCAGAGAACAGGGGUAAUGUUUGAGAGCACAGUCAUGAGAUUGUUUAAUGCCUUGUCUUAGAUGUUUUUCCAGAUUCAUCUCUUUGUUUGAAAUAUGCUGGUAGGCACACAAAAGUGACUGAAAGAAAUGAAACGGUGACCAGGCACCUCAUCUUUCCAUCUCCAGUGCUCCCCGAAUUCUGGGGAGGUCUCACAGAGCACCGGAUGGUACAGUGCUCUGAAGGACCGGUAGAGUCUCGUCUUCGCUCAUGCCUGAGCUGACUGAGUUUCAACCCUUCAAGGCAAAGAGCACUAUGCGUGCCUGUGUUUGUCCUGUGCAUUCCAGCCCAAGGUGAGGAGAUGCUGGAGUUAGGUUCAGCCCUCCUCCACCAUGAAGGUCACCAGGCCUGCACAAGCCAGGGUGGGGCUGGCUGGGAGUCUGGCAGAUGUAUCCCCGCCAUGCACGGACAGGGCUCCCAUUAUCGCUAAUGGCUGCGACGUGCUCAGGGGAGGCAGAACAUGUUUCAAAGGUUUAUAUUCCAUCUGCUGAAUUGAUUCUAAUCUACAGGGCUGACUCUACUUUGGGCUCCUAGGAAGCAAACAAUUUUUUUUCUUUGAUCCUCAAUAAAACACAGGGAUUGAUUCUGCUAAGACAGCUAUGCAAAUAGCAUGUUAAAUAUUCAACAGAAAGGAAAUUAGAAUCAACUCUAAUGUGGUGAGAUGGGUUUCCCCCUCAACCUUUUUUUUUUUUAAUGGCUCAAAUGAGUUUCCUUGGUGAGAAAAGGGGUCCAGUUUGAGAAACUUCUAUCAACAUUACCAUGUGUCUAUGCUAUUGUCUGCAACCUGAACCGUUUCUCUGGUCCUGGGGAAGACCACAUCUGGAAGCACCAUUCAGGACCAGUGAGAUGGAUCGGUGGGUAAAAGCACUUGCCUCCAAGCCAAAUGGCCCGAGUUUAAUCCUGCGUCCCACGUGCUAGAGAGAAUUGACUCCCAACGUUGUCUUCUUGACCUUCGUGUGCAUGGAGUGACAUGCAUGUCCCCCCUUCCACAUACACAUACCCACAUAGUAAAUAAAUAAAUGUAAUUU